This 732-nucleotide ribosomal RNA is filed under the name uncultured Fluviicola sp. Its description in RNAcentral is "bacterial SSU rRNA". It matches the Rfam family "Bacterial small subunit ribosomal RNA", at positions 8 to 733 of the family's 1533-position model. Lineage: Bacteria; Pseudomonadati; Bacteroidota; Flavobacteriia; Flavobacteriales; Crocinitomicaceae. The record is from RNAcentral.
AGAGUUUGAUCAUGGCUCAGGAUGAACGCUAGCGGCAGGCCUAACACAUGCAAGUCGAGGGGUAGCAGGAUAAAGCUUGCUUUAUUGCUGACGACCGGCGCACGGGUGCGUAACGCGUAUGCAACCUACCUUAUACUGGGGUAUAGCCCGGAGAAAUUCGGAUUAAUCCCCCAUAGCAUUAUCGAUUCGCAUGUUUUGAUAAUUAAAGGUUACGGUAUAAGAUGGGCAUGCGUCCCAUUAGCUAGAUGGUGAGGUAACGGCUCACCAUGGCGACGAUGGGUAGGGGGCCUGAGAGGGUGGUCCCCCACACUGGUACUGAGACACGGACCAGACUCCUACGGGAGGCAGCAGUGAGGAAUAUUGGUCAAUGGGCGCAAGCCUGAACCAGCCAUGCCGCGUGCAGGAAGACGGUCCUAUGGAUUGUAAACUGCUUUUAUUCGGGAAUAAACCUCCUUACGUGUAGGGAGCUGAAGGUACCGAAUGAAUAAGCACCGGCUAACUCCGUGCCAGCAGCCGCGGUAAUACGGAGGGUGCAAGCGUUAUCCGGAAUCAUUGGGUUUAAAGGGUCCGCAGGCGGUCUUAUAAGUCAGUGGUGAAAGCCUACAGCUCAACUGUAGAACUGCCAUUGAUACUGUAAGACUUGAAUUCGAUCGAAGUGGGCGGAAUAUGACAUGUAGCGGUGAAAUGCUUAGAUAUGUCAUAGAACACCGAUAGCGAAGGCAGCUCACUAGG